UGGACAGAUACAAUGUGUAAUAAUUACUUAUAAGAAUAAGAACGCAAAAAAAAUUGUUACCUAGUAUUUAAGAUAGCAAAGUAAAGGAAUUUCAUUGUGAUCUUUUAGGCUUUAGCUAAAGCUUGUCUUUAUAACAAGGUCAAAAGAAGAGUAAACCAUCUUACUUUUUCCCCACUAAAUGCUGCACCUUGAAACUUAUACAUGAGACAGAGGCCCCCACUCACGAAAAUUUGUUCGAUUGCAAUACAAAACAUGUGAAAGGAUGCUUCAAAUCUUCCUUCUACCAUUUCGAGAUGCAGAAGAGUUUUAUCCCUUCACACCUUCAUCCAUCUGCGAAGGCCUAUCAGAUUCAUGUCUAACAGCAUUAAAAGUAGAACAUAAUUAACAACUUUUUGUUCCAGAAUAAAAUGUUAGUACCACAAGUUUAGAACAAUAGUUGCCUAGCCCCUUCAAAUUCAAACAGGAGCAAAAUAUAUGCUCACUAUCACACAAAGUGGCACUCGCAAAAUUAAGAAAGUUUCAAUUUGUUUCAAUUUAACAAAAUUUACGAACAUACAAAUUUAUUUUUUCCACUGUGCUUUUAGUUUAGGAGCUUUUAACAUGAUAAUGAAAUUAUAGUACUCCCUUCGUUCCUUUCCUUAAUAUAAGUCUGUUUUAGAGAAAUAUUUUUGUUCCUUAAUAUAAGACAGUUUUAGAAUUUCAAGUAAGCAUUAAUUGCUUAGUUUCCAAUAUUACCCCAAGUAUUAAAUAUAACUUUGGUUCUCUCACUAUUUUUUGUCUAAUAAAUAACAAUCUCUUCUUCCGAUACAAGGGCAAAAUAGACAAUUGAUAUUAUAGUUAAUGUUAUACAAUCAUUUCCUUAAUACUUGUGCACAACUCUAAAACGACCUAUAUUAAAGAACGGAGGGAGUAAUAAACUUGAAGAAGUCUGUCAUUUAAUUCUACGACUCAAAUCAAUUGCACUUUUUGAAAUAAACAAAGAGCAAAAAAAUUGGAACUUUUUGGGGAUGGGAUGAAUACAUAACAAUUAUGUAGAGACCAAAAUCUCUUUUUGCUAAACAGUUUUAUUGCUCUUGCAAUCUGCUAAAUGAUUAUCCAAUGAUGCCAAAAAAUAUCAAAGAAUCACAAUUUUACAAUGUUAACACAAAAUAGAUUUUAUAAUAAUAAAAUAGAAAUUUGAUUAGAUAAAAAUUAUCUUAUAUUACUGUGAGUGGUUAUCAAAAUUUGUCUUAAUAAUGCUUAAAAAAAUUAAAGGCAGUAUAUUAACAAUGCGUGUACCUUUUCCCUGAAUUAAGAGCCUUGGUUAUUCAUAUAUGUUGAUUUCUGAUUUUGUAGUUGUAACAAUGUUGAUUAUGUAGGAGGAGAAGGAAGGAAUGGACACCAAUCGCAACAGACAAGGAAAACCACACACCACACCACCAGAGGAGAGAACCUGGGUUAAAAAGCCCCGUGCUUUCUCCCCUCAAAACCAAAAUAUAUCGUUUAUUAUAUUAAAAUUUUGAUGACCUGCCAUGCAAGCGCACCUGUCAUGGCAAAGGCCGUAUCACAUCAUAACAGAAUCCCUUUUCCCCAAUUGUCUACCCAUAACAGAACCCCUUUUCCCCAACCCAAAAUACAAACCCUUACAAGCUAAAUCCAAUUUCGCAAGAUUCCAAGUUAUGAAAGAUUAGGGUUCGUCGAUUGUCUACCACCAGGAAACAUCACAACGCAGCGCCUGCGACGAAACAAUCCCAUCUUAUUCUGAAUUGAAACCUGCAGAAAAACUUCUGAUACCUUUCAUAGAUGACGAAACAACUAUAGAAAAUAUAACAAUAAACAAAAAAUCAAAGUAUACGGUAGCAAUCGAUAAACCUCUAGUACCAAAUUCCGUCGGUUUCAAAGCGCUGGUCUAAACGAUAAAGGAAAGGCAGGUACGUUGUACGGCAUAAUGUGUUUCUACCGGUAUAUAUAGGAUAGUUGGGGAGAGCGAACGGCUAGGAUUGAGGGAAUGAAUUAAGGAUCAACGGUGGUAAAUUAACCUAUUAGAUUGAGUCGUUUUCUUGCGUUUCGUUUAACCGGUUGUAGACGCUGUCAAUGAGCUGGCAAUUUAGACAUUAACGAAUAUAAAUUGAACACAUGUUAAACUAAUCUUCCGGGCACGUUUAUGUUUGUUUCGUCCAUUCCAACGACAUUUAUCCUAAACUGGACUCAGAACUGGCUCGGCCCAGUUACCUAUGGGCCUUCACGUAAGAGCCUUGACAGCCUAAUCCCAAAAUUCCUUUUUGUUUUAUAAUUAAAAUAAUUUUCGGUGCACAACUUAAUUAAGGGACCGUUUCAUAAAAUUGAAUUCUGAAUAUUUAAUUAAUCUGAAUAAAUUAAAUAAAAAAAAUUAUUUAAUAAUUAAUAUAUCUGAAACAUCUGAAUAACAGUCUUUUAUUAUUUUACCCCUCUUAAAUUAUUUUAGUUUCUUACUUCAUAUGCCUAUUUAAAAUUUUUAUUUUUUCUUAAG
This 2488-nucleotide long non-coding RNA is filed under the name Panax ginseng (ginseng). Its description in RNAcentral is "long non-coding RNA (PGIN_LNC006437)". Lineage: Eukaryota; Viridiplantae; Streptophyta; Magnoliopsida; Apiales; Araliaceae. The record is from RNAcentral.